RNAcentral lists this ribosomal RNA (642 nucleotides) under uncultured actinomycete. RNAcentral's name for it is "bacterial SSU rRNA". It matches the Rfam family "Bacterial small subunit ribosomal RNA", at positions 233 to 885 of the family's 1533-position model. Lineage: Bacteria; Bacillati; Actinomycetota; Actinomycetes; Actinomycetales. The record is from RNAcentral.
GCGGCCUAUCAGCUUGUUGGUGAGGUAAUGGCUCACCAAGGCGACGACGGGUAGCCGGCCUGAGAGGGUGACCGGCCACACUGGAACUGAGACACGGUCCAGACUCCUACGGGAGGCAGCAGUGGGGAAUAUUGCACAAUGGGCGCAAGCCUGAUGCAGCAACGCCGCGUGAGGGAUGAAGGCCUUCGGGUUGUAAACCUCUUUUAGCAGGGAAGAAGCGAAAGUGACGGUACCUGCAGAAAAAGCACCGGCUAACUACGUGCCAGCAGCCGCGGUAAUACGUAGGGUGCAAGCGUUGUCCGGAAUUAUUGGGCGUAAAGAGCUCGUAGGCGGUUUGUCGCGUCUGCUGUGAAAACUGGAAGCUCAGCUUCCAGCCUGCAGUGGGUACGGGCAGACUAGAGUGCGGUAGGGGAGAACGGAGUUCCUGGUGUAGCGGUGGAAUGCGCAGAUAUCAGGAGGAACACCGAUGGCGAAGGCAGUUCUCUGGGCCGUUACUGACGCUGAGGAGCGAAAGCGUGGGGAGCGAACAGAAUUAGAUACCCUGGUAGUCCACGCCGUAAACGGUGGGUGCUAGCUGUGGGCCACAUUCCACGUGGUCCGUGACGAAGUUAACACAUUAAGCACCCCGCCUGGGGAGUACGG